This is a long non-coding RNA of Triticum aestivum (bread wheat), 3743 nucleotides long. RefSeq lists it as uncharacterized. The transcript is spliced from 5 exons. Lineage: Eukaryota; Viridiplantae; Streptophyta; Magnoliopsida; Poales; Poaceae. The record is from RefSeq and is a predicted model, not a curated record.
CAAUCGCAUCCACACCAGGCGAACCCUAGCCUCCUUUCCCCCGAUCCCCCAGCCGCCGCACGACCUCGCUCCUCCCCCCCUCUCGCUGCACCCUCUCCUCGCUCGUAGCCGCCUCCUUUACACCUCCGCCCGAGCUCCACCUUCCUCGCCGACCUCCCUCCUCAUGCCUCCUCCCUUCCGCGCCUCUCCCUCCUCCUGCCUCCACUCUCCCCUUUCCUGUCGGUCCCCAUAGCCUCUCCCACUUCUUCCAUCCUCCUCCCCGUGUCACCACUCACCAUGGCCUCCGCCCUGAAGCCUCGCCGACGCAUGCUAUUCCUCCUCCCUCGUCUCUGUUCGGUGCUGAUGACCGGCUCACCCCACAGCUUCUUCCCCACCCACGACCUAGAGUUGGGGAGGCCGGGUUCUCAUUGGGGGUGGAGGAGAUGGGGACGGCCAAGAGGCCAGCGGUGGGGAGAAGCCAGGCCAGCCUGCCGUGUCUCCCCGGAUCUGGUCAGCGGCCGAGUUGGCUGGCUGGGAUGAGGAGAUUGUCCUCCUUGUGGCUCUCGUCAUCGAGGACAGCCUGGUCCGCAAAUCGCGGCCCUCCUGCGUUGGGCUACACGACGUGGCUUACUGAAGAGCGCUGACCAACAGCAGGUGCUAAUCUUGGGUUUACCACUUGUGGCUUUGAGUUGACAGGGUGCUAGCAGCUGCAGUUCUGUUCAUUUGGAGGACACAUAUGACAAACUGUGAUAUCACAAUAUUUUUUCCUUCAGAUGCUUUAUCUUUGUUUUUUCUGUGUGUAUGCAUGCCAUGGUUUGCACAUCCUUUGCUCAUUGGCAUGUCUAUACACGGGCUUGUUGUUCUUCUAGAGAACUGAGUUGGUGAUGUUUAUUAUUGUUAGCUGUUUAGAGUGAUUGUUCCCAAUUAAUUUUGAUCAAUUAAUUAUUAGCAGGUAUUUAUCGAACGACCUUAUGCGAAUUCCCGGCCAAUUUAUUCCUUUUUAGCCAAGGCCAUCUUUAUAUCACAUAUCUCUGCUGCUGGGGAAAGUGAUUCAACUGAAAGUGGCAUGUGAUUCUCCCCUGGAGCCCAACAACCCUCUAUAUGGAUUAUCUGAAAGUUGAUGAGUAUGCUUAUGCAUCAGAUUUUCUCCUCUUAGUUAUGCAAUUUAGGCCUGUAUUUAUUUUUCAAUAUCACUAUGAGUAUCAUGAUAGAGAGUUAAUAGUUCACUCACUGCACAAAAUAUUUAGUUGGCAUAUUGAGGGGCUCACACCCUUUUAUGGACGAACUUAUACCAUCAACUGUUAAACAGAUAGCAUGACCAUAUGAUUAUAGAGAGAAAAAACCAUAGCUUGUGUUGUUGGGCAGGUUAUUAGUGACUUUUAAACAUAGUCAUGCAAUAGAACUUUAGGAUUCAUAAUUAUUCUACAUACGAUUGUUGAAACCAGUACUUUUGUAAGACCGAUGGUGAUGUAUGCUCCUUGCUGGUUUAGGUUGGUUGGUUGGAACAUUGUUGAUUGUAUGGUGGCUACAAAAGUGAAUCUUCACGCUGGCUGCAAUAGAAGCUGAUAUAGGUUACAGGAGAAAAUACUGAAUAUUUGAGAAAUUUACAUCGGAAGUUUAUAUCUCACAAUAUUAACCAAAUAAAGAAGUUAUACAUAAGAAAAUUAGUCAUGGAUAUUUUAAUUGUAUACUUGUUUUGCUAUGAUUCUAAAUAGCGUCUGGAUUGGCCGAUAUUGCGGUCUUGGCUGUCUGCUUAUAUCAAGUAUGGUCUGAUAUUUUGGUCAUAUCAGCCCCAGUAUUGAGCAUACCGACUAAUAUUCUGGUCAUAUCAGCCCCAAUAUUGAGCAUACCAGCUGACAUUCUGGUUAUAUCACACUUUCUAAAGUCUACACCAAAUCUGCGAGCACUAUAUCUGAUAUUUGAAUCUUGAAAUUACCAUUAGAAAGGCAAAGAUAUCUUGUAGAAAAAUAGGGUACAUGCUCAGGUAUAUCAUAUAUGGAGAAAAGGCACCUAUCAGCUGUAUUGGUUCUUUCAUAUUUUUGUGCAGUCCUUCUAUUAAUUUUUUCAAACUUUCUGGGUUUAUAUUUGAGCAAGAUAAAUAUAUUCCAUCUCUAUCCCAGUACAGAAUUGAAGCUUCAUCAAAUCUAUCUGGGCGUUCAUUGCGUAAUACAGUGUUGAGAUUGAGAACAUUUUCAGAGGGGAACUUAAGGUAUCACCUAAUGACAUAAUAUUAGUCACUAUCCGUUGAUUGGUAAAUUUUGCUUUAGUAUACACCCCUUCGGGAUAUGGCUUUCAAUUCUAUACUUUUCCUUGAUUAUCAGUAUUGCUACAAGGAUAAUAAUCAUUUUUAUUGCAAAGUACGUACUACAUUAGACAAAUCAGCAUGUUUUCCCAUAGAAAUACAUGUGGCACGAAAGCAGCGACAGUCAUGUUUGAAAGCGUGUAAUAUAAGAGUAUGUAUCUUAGUUAUUUUGGCAUCGCCAUCCUUUACAUUAUAGGUUGUUUUGCAUAACUAACAAUGAGGUCUACAUAUGUAGAUUUGCAAGUUAAAUUCACCACACCUUUGAAACCCGUAGUUGUUUACUAUUCUCUUAAAUCUUUAAACUUUGUGCUUCAUUGCUUUAAUUUUAGAACUAGGAGGGUGCAGAUAAGUAAGAGUUCUUGGCAGCAGCAACCUACACAUGUGGAAACAGUGGCUAUGGCGGUUCAAAGGGAAGUUGUGGCUGCUAGACAGCAAGUCACAGCUUAGUGGCGGCUCAAAGGACAUAUAAUCUAUUUCUUCUUGGAGAUAUCUACUAUCAUAUUAUGACUCGGUGCUAGCUGAAGCUUCUAUUUUCUCGCCUUUUGUGGUGGCGAUUAUUCCAUGGACUGCUGUAAUUCCAUUUGCUAUUCCUCAUGUUGCAACCUUUUCCCGUAGAAUCGAAAAGAAUUAGAUGGAAGAAAUUGCAGGAGAGCAGGAAUGGUAUUCUCGGCUGACAUUCAAAAGCAGUCAAGAUGGUGAAGUUUAGAACGGAGGAGCUCUGCGGAAUUAUGGAUAAAAAAUAUCCAUAACAUGUCUAUCAUUGCUCAUGUCGACCAUGGUAUGUGACGGAGCAGUGACAAUUGUCUCUAAUUGUCAAGUUUAUAUGGUAGAAUCUUCUUGAUUGAUGAUUUUGUAGCCUUCUCUUAGUUGUACUAUAUUGAUUCUUAAAACUGGAUCAUUUAAAAUUAGUUAGAUUUAAUGAGUUGUUUCACUGUUUUCAAAUAAGUAGUUUAAGCCCUUAUUGUGUCCCAGAGCUUAUUCUUUCUGCCUUUUUAUGAUUGAUAUAUGCUCUAACAAGCUUAAAUUUAACUAUUGGCAUAUAAUCUCAUGGCUCAAAAUCUUAGUUGUUGAAUGUAUUAAAAUUUAUAAGAUCUGGAGUUUGCACUAUAUUUCAUCCUGCGGUAUUCCCAGUAACUGAAUAUUAAGAGCACCGACGAUCCCAGGUUGUACAUUUGGGAAAUGCUUUUAUCUUGUAGGCCAGUUUUACAUUUACUUCUUUAAUAAGGAGAUGACCAUGAACACAGUAUCAUGGUAUUUGCCUUGGCAUUACUGACGUUGUGUUCAGAUUACUGAAAGAAGGAUUGGUAGCCGCGAAGGAGUGAAGGGUAGAAAAUAUGUCCAUUGUCGUUGAAUUGGUGGGAUUGUCCCCAAGUUAGUGCUGCAGAUGUUUCUAUUUUAGAGCAAGAAGCCAAAUCAUGUUGUUCAUUGUAAAUCUUGAAAAACUUGUUUAUUGUCACUUCUA